UACAGAGGUCCCAAGCGUUGUUCGGAUUUACUGGGCGUAAAGGGUGCGUAGGUGGCAGUGCAAGUUUGAUGUGAAAGCUUCGAGCUUAACUCGAAAAUGGCAUUGAAUACUGGAUUGCUGGAGGGUUGGAUGGGGGACUAGAAUUCUCGGUGUAGCAGUGAAAUGCGUAGAUAUCGAGAGGAACACCAGUGGCGAAGGCGAGUCCCUGGACAACUCCUGACACUGAGGCACGAAAGCUAGGGGAGCAAACAGG
This 253-nucleotide ribosomal RNA is filed under the name uncultured bacterium. RNAcentral describes it as "partial 16S ribosomal RNA". It matches the Rfam family "Bacterial small subunit ribosomal RNA", at positions 524 to 776 of the family's 1533-position model. The record is from RNAcentral.